UACAAAUUUCAGGGGAACUUUAAGUAGUUGAGAGGUGGAGACACGACCCUUAGAACUUGAGCUAGUUAAUACUAGUGUAAGGAGAAGACAUGUAUCAAAA
Molecule: non-coding RNA, 100 nt
Filed under: Bacteriovorax sp. DB6_IX
Lineage: Bacteria; Pseudomonadati; Bdellovibrionota; Bacteriovoracia; Bacteriovoracales; Bacteriovoracaceae
Also listed under: 1 other name
Description: TPP riboswitch aptamer (THI element)
Rfam family: TPP riboswitch aptamer (THI element)
About the family: Vitamin B(1) in its active form thiamin pyrophosphate (TPP) is an essential coenzyme that is synthesised by coupling of pyrimidine and thiazole moieties in bacteria. The previously detected thiamin-regulatory element, thi box was extended, resulting in a new, highly conserved RNA secondary structure, the THI element, which is widely distributed in eubacteria and also occurs in some archaea. Analysis of operon structures identified a large number of new candidate thiamin-regulated genes, mostly transporters, in various prokaryotic organisms.
Source: Rfam by way of RNAcentral